AAAUUCAAAUUUGUUUUGUUGAAAUGACUCAUUAUUUUGUGGCAUUUCAAUUAGAUCAUCAUUAUCAUCGUUUUCUACAAGAGAAAAUGUAGGCUCGGAUUCACAAGGUUCCUUACUCAUAACAGGAGUAUGAUCAGAUAAAGAAUCAUGGCCAUUUUCUGUUGGUGCAGGUGUAAAAAUCUUAGACUUUUGUGAUACUGACAAAGAUAAGUUAUUUAAAAAACUCAUGUCCUCAAUUUUAAACGAG
This 247-nucleotide long non-coding RNA is filed under the name Lathyrus oleraceus (garden pea). RNAcentral's name for it is "Pisum sativum (pea) long non-coding RNA (PSAT_LNC022883)". Lineage: Eukaryota; Viridiplantae; Streptophyta; Magnoliopsida; Fabales; Fabaceae. The record is from RNAcentral.